RNAcentral lists this ribosomal RNA (482 nucleotides) under uncultured bacterium. Its description in RNAcentral is "bacterial SSU rRNA". It matches the Rfam family "Bacterial small subunit ribosomal RNA", at positions 29 to 506 of the family's 1533-position model. The record is from RNAcentral.
UUGAACGCUGGCGGAAUGCUUUACACAUGCAAGUCGGGCGGCAGCGCGGGGGCAACCCUGGCGGCGAGCGGCGAACGGGUGAGUAACAUAUUGGAACGUACCCAGACGUGGGGGACAACUAGUCGAAAGACUAGCUAAUACCGCAUACGUCCUGAGGGAGAAAGCGGGGGAUCGCAAGACCUCGCGCGUUUGGAGCGGCCGAUAUCUGAUUAGCUAGAUGGUGGGGUAAAGGCCCACCAUGGCGACGAUCAGUAGCUGGUCUGAGAGGAUGAGCAGCCACACUGGAACGGAGACACGGUCCAGACGCCUACGGGAGGCAGCAGUGGGGAAUUUUGGACAAUGGGGGAAACCCUGAUCCAGCCAUUCCGCGUGAGUGAAGAAGGCCUUCGAGUUGUAAAGCUCUUUCGGCAGGAACGAAACGGCGGAAUCUAAUACAUUCCACUAAUGACGGUACCUGAAGAAGAAGCACCGGCUAACUACGU